GUCUCAAUGCUGUGGAAAUCAAGUGAUCUAGUUUACA
This 37-nucleotide ribosomal RNA is filed under the name Hematodinium sp. Its description in RNAcentral is "partial ribosomal RNA". The record is from RNAcentral. Lineage: Eukaryota; Dinophyceae; Syndiniales; Syndiniaceae.